UGUGGUCAUACUUAGUUAAAUGAGAACAUAAAGCAAGCAUGUGGCUCAGGACACAUGACAACCAAUCAGCAAGAAUACUCAAUGAACAUACAUAAUCAAAUCCAAAUGGCCCUCUCCUAUGAACAAAACACAAAUAGCAACAAAUAAGCUGUUAAAGCCCAAAAAAAAGUGAGCAAAUAGUAAGUUUUAUUUUUAAUCCAUUGGACUGUAAACUAUUAUGAUGCGUCAUACAACAAACUACCAUCUUGUUCUUCUAUACAACAAAUGAUAAUGAAUUGUGACCACUUGCAUAAAAAUGUUCUUGAAUUUCUCAUGCUCAUGGUGCUUAUAUUGUUACAAACUCAAUCAUACUGUUGAUUGCUCGUGAAUAUCUUUUUCCUUUUGUACUAGCUUCUAAUGUGUACUGAAUUGUUUAUCAUGUCCGUCAGUAGUCAAUACCCAGUAUUUCUUGUCUAAUUCCUUGAAUAUAUUUUAUAAAUAUAUUGCUACAUUUUAGACUUCAUUAUUCAUGUUCCCUUGGGUUUGAUGUAUAGCCUUACCAACCUGGUUAUACUG
Molecule: unclassified non-coding RNA, 555 nt
Filed under: Hevea brasiliensis (rubber tree)
Lineage: Eukaryota; Viridiplantae; Streptophyta; Magnoliopsida; Malpighiales; Euphorbiaceae
Source: RNAcentral